GAUGAAGAACGUAGCGAAAUGCGAUACGUAAUGUGAAUUGCAGAAUUCAGUGAAUCAUCGAGUCUUUGAACGCACAUUGCGCCCCCUGGUAUUGCGGGGGGCAUGCCUGUCCGAGCGUCAUUGCUGCCCUCAAGCACGGCUUGUGUGUUGGGCCUCCGUCCUCCUCCCGGGGGACGGGCCCGAAAGGCAGCGGCGGCACCGCGUCCGGUCCUCGAGCGUAUGGGGCUUCGUCACCCGCUCUUGUAGGCCCGGCCGGCGCUUGCCGACACAUCAAUCUUUUUUCCAGGUUGACCUCGGAUCAGGUAGGGAUACCCGCUGAACUUAAGCAUAUCAAUAAGCGGAGGA
This 345-nucleotide unclassified non-coding RNA is filed under the name soil metagenome. RNAcentral's name for it is "partial contains 5.8S ribosomal RNA, internal transcribed spacer 2, and large subunit ribosomal RNA". The stretch from base 1 to 120 matches the Rfam family "5.8S ribosomal RNA", at positions 35 to 154 of the family's 154-position model. The record is from RNAcentral.